CCUUGAGUUCGGGCCGCACGCGCGCUACACUGACUGAGCCAGCGAGUUUAUCACCUUAGCUGAGAAGCUUGGGUAAUCUUGUGAAACUCAGUCGUGCUGGGGAUAGAGCAUUGCAAUUAUUGCUCUUCAACGAGGAAUACCUAGUAAGCGUGAGUCAUCAGCUCGCGUUGAUUACGUCCCUGCCCUUUGUACACACCGCCCGUCGCUACUACCGAUUGAAUGGCUUAGUGAGAUCUCCGGAUUGGCGUUAGGGAGCCGGCAACGGCACCCUUUGGCCGAGAAGUUGAUCAAACUUGGUCAUUUAGAGGAAGUAAAAGUCGUAACAAGGUUUCCGUAGGUGAACCUGCGGAAGGAUCAUUAUUAAAUGUUGCUUCGGUAACUUUAUAAUCCCUUAACACCUGUGCAUUUUGUCGCUCCGGCGAUAUCAUACAAACAUCAGUGUAAUGAAUGUAAAUUAUUAUAACAAAUACAACUUUCAACAACGGAUCUCUUGGCUCUCGCAUCGAUGAAGAACGCAGCGAAAUGCGAUAAGUAAUGGGGAAUUGCAGAAUUCAGUGGAUCAUCGAAUCUUUGAACGCACAUUGCGCCUUUUGGUAUUCCGAAAGGCAUGCCUGUUUGAGUGUCAUAAGACCUCUCAUACCUAGUUUUCUAUGUAUGACUUUGGAUGUUGCCAUUCGUGGCUCGUCUUAAAUGUCUAAGUGGAAUGCGUAAUAAGUUUUCGCUCCCUCCACUCUAAUAACUUUUAUGUUAGACCUCAAAUCAGGUAGGACUACCCGCUGACUUAAGCAUAUCAUAAGCGGAGGAAAAGAACUAACAGGGAUUCCCCUAAUAACGGCGAGCGAACCCGGGAAAGCUCAAAUUUAAAUCUGGGGUCUUUCAGGGGUCCGAAUUGUAAUCUACAAAAAGGUUUUCCGGGCCGGAACGGGCCAAUCCCUUGGGAAAGGGGUUCAAAAAGGGGGAAAUCCCUAUUUGAACCACUACCGGGCUU
Molecule: ribosomal RNA, 988 nt
Filed under: Tremellales sp. LM495
Lineage: Eukaryota; Fungi; Basidiomycota; Tremellomycetes; Tremellales
Description: eukaryotic LSU rRNA
Rfam family: Eukaryotic small subunit ribosomal RNA (bases 1-360)
Source: RNAcentral